This 321-nucleotide ribosomal RNA is filed under the name Triticum aestivum (bread wheat). RNAcentral's name for it is "partial small subunit ribosomal RNA". The record is from RNAcentral. Lineage: Eukaryota; Viridiplantae; Streptophyta; Magnoliopsida; Poales; Poaceae.
UGCAAUAUUUGUGGGAGAGAAAUAGAGGAUGAAUAUCAUGCGGUUAUACAAUGCACGAAAGCCCGAGCGCUCAGAGAGGAGUUGAGAAAAUAGUGGGACUUACCGAUGGAACACCAAUUUUAGUUUACUGGAGUUGACUGGCUACAAAACCUGCUAGAUAAAUGUGACACUGAAACAAGGAAAAAGGUACUGUUGCUUAUAUGGCACGCCUGGUGGCUUAGAGAUGAUUGCAUCCAUGGAGAAGGAAAAACAACGAUUGGUCAAUCUGCCCAAUUUCUGCUCAAAUAUGCAGAAGAAAUUAGUGGCUGUGGGGUGAGCUGA